UACGAAGGGUGCGAGCGUUAAUCGGAAUUACUGGGCGUAAAGCGUGCGCAGGCGGCUUUGCAAGACAGAUGUGAAAUCCCCGGGCUCAACCUGGGAACUGCAUUUGUGACUGCAAGGCUAGAGUACGGCAGAGGGGGAUGGAAUUCCGCGUGUAGCAGUGAAAUGCGUAGAUAUGCGGAGGAACACCAAUGGCGAAGGCAAUCCCCUGGGCCUGCACUGACGCUCAUGCACGAAAGCGUGGGGAGCAAACAGG
This 253-nucleotide ribosomal RNA is filed under the name uncultured bacterium. RNAcentral's name for it is "partial 16S ribosomal RNA". It matches the Rfam family "Bacterial small subunit ribosomal RNA", at positions 524 to 776 of the family's 1533-position model. The record is from RNAcentral.